CAGGGAAUCUUGCGCAAUGGACGGGAGUCCGACGCAGCGACGCCGCGUGGGUGAAGACGGCCUUCGGGUUGUAAAGCCCUUUUCUGGGGGAAGAGAGAGGACGGUACUCCAGGAAUAAGUGUCGGCUAACUACGUGCCAGCAGCCGCGGUAAUACGUAGGACACGAGCGUUAUCCGGAUUUACUGGGCGUAAAGCGCCUGGAGGCGGUUCUUCAAGUCGUUUGUGAAAGCCCUGGGCUCAACCUGGGGAGGUCAAGCGAUACUGGAGGACUUGAGGGUGACAGAGGGGAGUGGAAUUUCCGGUGUAGCGGUAAAAUGCGCAGAUAUCGGGAGGAACACCAGUGGCGAAGGCGGCUCCCUGGGUC
This 364-nucleotide ribosomal RNA is filed under the name uncultured bacterium. Its description in RNAcentral is "bacterial SSU rRNA". It matches the Rfam family "Bacterial small subunit ribosomal RNA", at positions 355 to 735 of the family's 1533-position model. The record is from RNAcentral.